UUUUGCUUCUCUGGCGUCGAGUACGAGCUUUAUCAAAUAUAGAUUGUCCAAAUCGAGUUUAUGAAUACUUUUACUGAGACGCCUCCGCGGUAAAACUCUGGUUUCAUCUCACCAAAUGGCCCAACAAAGAUUCACAGACGCGGGGAGAAACAUUCUAGACGUUGAGAAAUCCUUUAUGAGGCAUGAAGACUAUUUCAACUCUGGCUCCGGAAAUACUGUAUGGCUCGGGUUCUUCCUUCAGUGUGCGUCUGUCCACCAGGUGAAAAUCGUGGAAUAAAAAAGGAAUAAAAUAAUUAAGGGUUUAACGAGGACCAGCGCAGAGCCAAACUGCGGCUUUCAGAAGGAAAUUACCACGGCAGAGGUCAUCUUUAAAUGACGGUAAUCUCGCAGGGGGCUCCAGCGCUCUUUUGAACUCAGAAUGGGUCCGUCCUGCCUUAUCUGUGUCACACAGCGGUGGGCCGCAAUCAGCCGCGGACCCCCUCGGACCGCUUUCAAAGGGCCCGAGGAG
This is a long non-coding RNA of Labeo rohita (rohu), 508 nucleotides long. RefSeq lists it as uncharacterized. The record is from RefSeq and is a predicted model, not a curated record. Lineage: Eukaryota; Metazoa; Chordata; Actinopteri; Cypriniformes; Cyprinidae. The transcript is spliced from 4 exons.